Paramormyrops kingsleyae is the source of this 2053-nucleotide non-coding RNA. Lineage: Eukaryota; Metazoa; Chordata; Actinopteri; Osteoglossiformes; Mormyridae. The record is from RefSeq and is a predicted model, not a curated record.
GUAGUGUACCUCGGGACAGAAGUGUCUGGGUAAAGUGAGUAGUGUACCUCGGGGCAGACGUGUCCAGGUAAAGUGAGUAGUGUACCUCGGGACAGAAGUGUCUGGGUAAAGUGAGUAGUGUACCUCGGGGCAGACGUGUCCAGGUAAAGUGAGUGGUGUACCACUCACAGCUAUGGUGUGUCUCACAGCUAUGGAAGAUUCAGCCGGAGACGCUCUGACACAGAUUAAUUAACCUGACAUAGAUUCAUUAACCUGACAAAGAUUAAGUGGUCAUCAAUAAACAUGAAAGAAAACUUGAUUCAACAUGCAUCAGAUACAUACAGAACAUGAUACAUUUGAAUGAGAAAAGGCCUGAUUGAUCGGCAAUUACAUACUGCUUAGCUGAUGAGAUGGAAAUAGCAGCAACAGCUAUUCCGGGAAAUUCAGCGACUGAAAGGGCUGUCCCUGGCCUCUGUAUAAAUCACAGGCAGUCGGCUAACAGCAAGCAGACAUUGCAAAGCCCCAUAUGCAAGCAUUUAAGUCUGGAGAUAAGGUGCAUUUAUCGGCUGGAGAGUAAAGUGAGGAAGAAGUGGCCCAGAUCAAUGGCUUCCGCAAGAAACCAAUGUUCAGACAGUUAGUCUGAUUUGUUGGCAAUCUCCUUACACCUCAUCAUGCGUCAUGCUGGGUGACACAGUGGGCGAUGGGGGGGGGGCUAGCUAUACAGCUGCAGAGCUGGGAUUUGUGGAGUCUGCAUGCCCACCCCCCCCAUUGUGUUUGCUGGGGUUACUUACAGUUACACCCACUCUCUCCCACACUCCUGGAGGUGGUGGGCAUUGGGUCAGCUUGUGAUCAGAAGGUUGCUGGUUUAAUCCCCAGCAUCAGCAGAGUGAUGUCAGAGUGAUGUCAGAGUCAUGUCAGAGUGAUGUCACUGUCAGGCCACUGAGGUGGAACCAUAACCCAUAAAAUCAAUUUUUAUGACCUAGCUUUCUGAAAAACAACAAAAACAAAAAAUUAAAACAUCUGUUAAUUAAAUUGCCAAUGUAGCUGAAUUGCCAACCCUAAUCUGCGCUGCUGAGCUUCUGUAAGUCACGCCUCCUGAGGCCCCCACCUCCCGGGUCAGCUUGGGGGUCUUUGGCUUCUCUGCGGCAGGACCACCGCCCCCUGAACGCCGGGCUUCAUGGGAAGGAGGGAGCAUGCUGGUGCCCGUCAGGAAAGACGCAUGAUAGAUGCCUGAUUAUGAUGAUUUAUAUAUAUAUGAAUGUUUAUAUAUGUACAUAUAUAAAUAUGGAUCCACUAUAUAUAUAUAAAUAUGAAAUAUUUCUUUCCUGCUGUGGUGUCCAUGUCUGGGGCAGAAGCAGAAAGAAUAUUGAGGCAGCGAUGGGACUGACGUGGCACUGAAGAAGCCAGCACGUGCACUGAGGGUCUCCACGUCGGAGAGUCGCUGUCGGGCUCAUCAUGCCUGUGUCUCCCUCCCCCCCCCACCCCCAUCCUGCACUAAAAGUGUGAAAGAAUGACCAUGUUGGCCUGACACCACUCUGGUGGGGUGGAAUCUGCAGGUUCACCUCUUCCUGAUUCGCCCUCAUUCCCGAAAUCUGUCCCGUAAACGUUUCCUGAGAUAAGAAUCAUAGGUUUGCUCAAAAGCAAAUCUGGGAGCUUCAGUGCGGAAGGAAUUCCAGUUUGGGAGAAAGCUGCAGAUUUAAUCAGAAGAAAAAUCUGUACUUCUGUCACACCGGACGCAGUAAAUAACAGCGCGUUAUUUGCACUGUGAUCUUCCCCUGUUUGCGAGUAACUGUUAGCUCUGCUAGACUGGUGUCAGCAAAGGUCAUUUGAUUCAUCAGUCCCUCCCAGCCUGUCCUCGCCUCUGUUUCCAUCCCGCUCUCCUGCUCCAUUGUACUUUGGCAGCUGGUAAUGCUCGCUGUUCACAGCAUCUGCUGACCGCGCGGCAGCCACUGCCGGGCGCCCAGACCGCUGAACGGCAGCCAAUCGUGAUUCCCGGCUCCCAGCACCUGCCUGGUUCUUUUAGCUCUGAAGUGCACUGCAUGCUUCUGCUCUGGCUGGGUAACCAGUGUCUGCG